Non-coding RNA from Podarcis lilfordi (Lilford's wall lizard), 11248 nucleotides. The record is from the annotation of a GenBank genome assembly. NCBI's taxonomy places the organism in Eukaryota, Metazoa, Chordata, Lepidosauria, Squamata, Lacertidae.
GAAUUACAUGAAACCAAGUUCCUGUUUCCUACAGAAUAACUGUGGUUUUUUGUUGUCUGAGUUUUCGAACUGAACACGUCACCACACGCAGGAAGCAAGUAUGCAUUAAAACUUAUUUUUCUCAUCAAUCUGAUCAUAAAGACAGAAUCAGCCUGUUGCAUCUGCAUUUUGUUUCACGGGUAAGUGACCUACUUUGUUUUAAAUAUGAAAUGUUUUCAUCAUCACUAAGGACCAAAAACAGUGUGAAAAGAGCUCUGUUCUUUCAACCUCUUUACUUCAGUAAUAUGCUUAAAGCUGCACAAAAUGCAGCAAAAUAUCACAUCUAAAAAAAAUGUUAUGAAAACAAAAGAGACCAGGAUUUUUCUGUUCUGCUAGAAUCCUUUUAUAAAUAAUUAAAGUGUCACAGAAUUCUUAAAUGUGCAAGAAGCCAGAUGCUUCAACUAUUUAAACAAAAGGAAGUGGGGAGGAGGAAUCAAAACUUUCUACUGAGCCGGAAUGUUGCCUUCUACUGUUUUAGAAUAAGACUAAAGCAAGAGUUGCACACAUAACAGAUUUUAAACACAACACUGUUGACAUUCUUCCUCUGUGUAGAAGAAAAAAAAACCUCUUCUCAAUUUGUUUGUUUCUGUAGAAACUGCACUCCUUCAGUUAAAUUCUUACUGUAAUCAACUGUAUAAGUAACUCCAUUUUUUAUUUCUCUGCCUCUACAAAUCCUGUCUCUGAAUUUAACUUAUGUCAGAAUCCCUAGAACCAUCUUUUGCAAAGAAUUAUAAACACAUUUACACUAAACAGCUAAAAUAGCAAUAACACUCCAGUUGCGCACAAGGCUUGCUUGUAUAAAAGAAACUUCUUUCUCCUGUUGGGAAAAGAAACCAGGGAAGGGCUGUCAUAUGUUAAGCAUCUAUACAAAAAUAGAUCUGGUUUCUAAAACAACGAUUCCUAAACAUAGUAAUGCAGCUUGGAAGCUUUCAAAUAAGUCGUCAGUUUAAUUCAUUAAACUGAAAUGCCCAGACUUGAGUGUUUUAAGCAAACGCAUGCAAGGGGGAAAUAAUUUCAAGUUCUGCCUUUCUCAAGAGAUUUCCCUCGCAGUACUUGCCCUCCUGUAGUUCUCUCCUGCUUGUUGUGGGGAAUGGUUCGGCUCCAUCUAUUGGAGGCAAGGAUAAUUUAUUAGCUGUGUGUCUGAGCCUGAGAACAGGAUUCCAGAACAUUUUUGUAUUCACUGCCAAAACAAAUAAAGCCUAACAUACUAGCAGCACAAUGCCUGAGAAGGGCUUUCUUUAAAAUGGAGGAGUCAGAAAAAGUCAGAAAGAAAUAAGGGGAAGAAUCAUCAGUGAAAGAAAAGAUCAGAAAGAAGUUGAGAAACAGAAGUGAACAGUAUACAGAUUAUUAUUUUUUUUCAAAAAAGAAACCAAAUGCAUAUCCUAAAAAAGAACUGCAUUCAUUUCUUUUAAAAAAUACUUUUUUUAAAAAAAUGUGUUUAUUCAUUUGUCUUAUAUCCUGCCCGGGGCAGCUAACAACCACCAUUAAAAUAGAAAUACAGUACAACAAUAACUAAAACAUCAACAAAAUCCAACUAUUAAAACAUAACAUAGUGAACAAUAAACCUUUAACUAUUAGGCUCCAAUCUAGUUAUAUUCCAAAAGCCAGGACAAUUUGUGUGUGUGUGUGUGUGUGUGUGUGUGUGUGUGUGUGUUAGGAAUAAAUGCUAUUUCCUUGUUCAAAUUAUGUUUCAAAUAAACCCUGGGGGUUCCUUGGAAGCAAAAGAGAGGUUCUGCACUGAGAAAAAUCUGUAAUAUGGGAAACUCCCCUAAAAGCUUGCCUACUACAACAUGCUUUCCCUUGCAUGCAACAAGCAUCCAAAGAAGAAUGUUGGGUUUGUUAUAGGACAGACAUUCCCUUCACGUGUGGUAACUAUGAGGCCCAAUGUCUAGGUUAGUGCUCUGGAUAAACUGACUGCGCACCUCAGAAUACUUCCCAGAAUGCUCUGCAACACCCAUUAAUGGAAGAUAUGCAGAAGAUCCUCAGCAGAAAAGGUAAUAUGAGAAGGACUGCGUUAAAGCAAAAAGUAUGAAAUCCAUGGCUUUAAACCUAAUGCGUUCUGACUGUAAUUUCAGCUGUUGUCAUGAAAUGAUGAUAUUCUAAGACACUUCAUUCUGCAGAAGCCACUAAACAACGUGAAGGGAUGCACAAGCCAUGCAGCUUGCUAGAAUUGCUGCAGUAAAUUUGCUGUUAUGCUAGGUAAUCAGAGAAAGCUGGUGGUAAAAAUUAUUUUCCCAGAGUAAUGGAAAUUAAAGAACCUCACAAUCUAUAUACCUCCAUGUAAUUUUUUCUUCACUAACAGAAAAGGUACCCUUUCCAGUUAUAAAUGAUUUUCAUUUUAUUUUACAAAAUGGAAUUCUCAAUGCCAUUAUAAGGUUUUUACUAAGAAUGUACUAUGUGGUGAUGUACAUUUGAUGCAUUUGCCGCCUGCUGAGUGUUUUUCAGGCAACACAAAAUGCAGUGAGUCUAAGAGUUCCUUAGAAUUCUAAUCCAAAAGAUGCAUUCAAGAUUAGCUGAGAUUCCUGCAUUGCAGAGUUGGACUAGAUGACCCUCAGGAUCUCUUCCAACUCUACAAUUCUAUUAUUCUAGUUGAAUGCACUCUGUCAGUUCACAAAUGGAAAGCAUUUCUUCAACACUCAAGCUGUAGACUACUCUUAUAUUAUUCUAUCAGAACUCAGAUCCAUUCUAUCACAAGCAGGGCUACCCCACGUCUGGAUUUUCCAGGACAUUACUGGGAUUUCAAAGGCGGAAUUGAUGUCUGGGGGGGAUUUCUGAAAGGCGGCGCUCUGUCCUGGAUCUUCAUAGGCAAGUCAACUGGAAAACUCUGGGGUUUGUAAAAAAAAAAUUUUUAAAUUGAGGUCUUCCUAAAAAAAGCUCAACAAUCACAACUCUUAUUGCCACUUACAAAUAUGCUUAUUAAAUGCCACUUUGUCUGACAGCUUGCUUGUGAGUCAGGAAGCAGAAAGGUAGACAUUGACAGUACUAAUACUAAGCUCAACACAAACAUUUGCAGAUACUAAUACUGGCCUACAUCAUAAAGUUGCUUUUUAAGAGUCACUGAUAUAAUAUGUCAUGUGCUUUGAACACUCUUUCAGUGUCUUAUAAAUGGUAUAAUUAUUGUAAUAACCUAGUGGCUCAGGCUUUUGCGGAUGUGCUGCUCUCACUAAAUGCUUUUCUUCUGUUAGCAAACAAUCUGUUUCUUCUUCUUCUAACCCACAAGUGAGUUUCAUUUCAACUUACAUUAAUGAAACAGAGUUCAUUCUGGUAGCAAAAUGGAAAGGAACUAAUCCCUUUUACAUUUUUUUUUUUUUUAAAAAUCCAUGCUGAGUGCUAGCUAGCUAUUGCCAGUGGAGCAGAUAAAUCCCUCCCUCCCACUUAACAAUUUAGUCUAAUGUCCUUUGUGUGCAGCCCACCUUCCCUUUCUUGCAUCUGAUGCUCCAAAUCCCAAUUUCAAAGCUACCUCAUUUUAGCCAACUCCACCUUUCUACUGUAAGCUGCGGGUUCUUGCUGCAAAGAUACCUAAUUGAAAAAGCUGCCCCCAAAACUUAUUGCUGAAGCCUCAGUACAGGAAAGGGUUUUGUUGAUUUCAUUUAGCAUAAUUCAGCCAAUGAUGCAACCAUGCUGCCUGUGAUGCUCUAGAACAGGCUUCCUCAAACUCGGCCCUCCAGAUGUUUUGAGACUACAGUUCCCAUAAUCCCUUACCACUGGUCCUGCUAGCUAGGGAUCAUAACUGUUCAGGACCAAAUUACAUGACAAAAAUCUGGCCUGCAGUUCAUGAAGAGGGAUUUGUGGCACAGCAGGCAUUCGAUCCUGUGUCUUCUUGGUCAAAGUCCAAACAUCAAAGGCCAGUACCUUAACCAUUAUAUCCCAUGGCUCUCUCAAUCUUGAACACCUUGGAUUGGGGAAACUGGGGAUCAAAAUUCCUUCUUGGCUAUAAAACCAAGGCAGUCACUGUCUCAGCAUAAUUCUACUUCACAAGGUAUUUGUAGGAAGGAAACGGAAAACAAAUAUUCUGCUUAAAGUUCUUUGGGUGAAAGGCAGGAGACAUAUAUAGCUUUUUCUGUGGUAGCUUUGCUUUUAUUGCAGGGCUUCUUCCCCCCCACCCCUUAACUAACAGCCAGUGGUGGGGUGGGGGCUGAAUCAGGACUAUGGGAGGGAGUAUUCACCCCUACCAUGGUCCUUAUUUGAAUCAGAUAGUCUAUCCAUCUUGCUGUUCACAGUGAAAGGAAAGCAACACAAGACCUACUUACUUCACGUCUAGCAUGGCCCUUACUGAGGGACCUAAAUCACAAUUCCUUAGCCUAAUGUACAGCAGAAGGCUAUUGUGAGAACAAGGGGAGAGGGAGGAAUGGCAGUAUAGAAGUCUAAUAAAUAAAUUAAAAGCCCAUGUUAUUACACCACUCUGCACAUACAUACCCAUAUCCCAACAACCAGAAAUAUUUGUUAUUGAUACUGUAUUUUUAUAGUAGAUCUCAACUGUUUGAAAGUCAACAUGGGUGCCAUUUUUGGCUGGAUGUCAGGGUGUGUGUUUGUGUGCGUGUGUGUGAAUAAGCUAAUAUUUCAGCUCUGUCUAACAUACUCACAGACUAAUUCUGAGCAUGUUUAUUGAGAAGAAAGUCCAACUGAGUUCAAAAGACAUUAGUUCCAAGCUGAAGUCCAUGUUUGGAGGCAUGAUCUGGGGAAGGACUAUUGUUUUCAUGUCCUGUUUCUAAGUCUCUAAGGGACGUAAGAUGCAAAGAUGGUAAACUAGAUGAAUACAGUGGUACCUCGGGUUACAUACGCUUCAGGUUACAGACUCCGCUAACCCAGAAAUAGUACCUCAGGUUAAGAACUUUGCUUCAGGAUGAGAACAGAAAUUGCGCGGCGGCAGCGAGAGGCCCCAUUACCUAAAGUGGUACCUCAGGUUAAGAACAGUUUCAGGUUAAGAACGGACCUCUGGAACGAAUUAAGUUCUUAACCCGAGGUACCACUGUAUUUGGUCUAAUGUAGCAGGGCUCUUCUUAGUCUUCUUAAAUGUGGCAUACAACCAAAGCCUUAAACUUACACUGUAGCUUAAAGCACAGCAUUCUAACAUUGACAGAACUGUACUAACAACAUAUAAGCUAUGGGAGAAAGUCUUAGGGAGAAACAUUAUUCCAUUAUUAGAUGAGGCUCUAUGGAAACUUCUGAUAGGAGACCCAAGGCAUUGCAGUGUCCCUGCAAUUCACUGUACAUAUACACUCUGCCUGAAUGGAUCAGCUUUGCAUAUUAUUGAAUGAUUUGAAGAAACCACAGUAUUAAAUCUGGGGAUUAAUGUGAAAACUGAAAUGCUUAUGUUACAAAGGAAACAGAAGACGAAAUAGCAAACAUAGCCUGCUAUAUUUUUUAAUUGCAGAUAUGCUAAAACAUCUUUUAAUAUGAGCACAAAGCUUGGGAAAUAGAAGCUAUAUUUUAAAAUGUACUAAUAAUUACACUCCAAAAGCUCCAUAUAGUUUUCUACAUAAUUUAAAAUAUGAAAUGUUUAUCCUAUUGCAGCACAAUCCUUUUUUAAAAAAACCUCCGAAUAAUAUUAGCAACAGAUUUCUUUCAACAAAGUAUAUGGAAAUCACCUUUUUGAUAACGUACAAAUCGUGCUUUUAGGUAGCCUAUAAAAUUACACAUUUCAUAUUUAUGGCAGUCAUUUUCUGCAGAGCAAACAACUAUUGUAUCUUUUUACACAGUCUAUUAUUUGUUUAAAAGAGAAAGUGAUGUCUUUUCAUGGGAACAGAAUCAUGAUGGCAUCACAUGAUUGAGCUAUUACAGUUAAUUCCCUGUCAGCUUCACCUUAAAAAACCCUAUCUUUAGGAAUUUAUAACUGCUAUAAACACAUACACACAGUUCUAAGCUAACAAAAGAGUAUAAUCAGAUAAAGGUGUUAAAAAGAAGUUUUUAAAAAACAAUUAUUUCCCCCAAUCUCCAAUAGUUCCAUCAUGAGACUGGGGGUAUUUAAAAUUAAAGGGUCAUAAUAUUACUGCUGAAAUUCUAUUGCUGCAGUCUUGUAGUCUUCACGACUAUUCUGAAACAAUCAAUGUGAACAUAGUAACCCAAUAGCCACAAUGUGCACUAAGAGGGUAGAACUGCUACUGAAUCUACUUUUGAUAGUGGAAUUCAAAGAUAUACCAGUGUAGUGACCAGAUGACAACAGAGCGCCCUGUCCUUUUACUGGGGCUAUGGUUGUGUCUCUAGUUAUUAUAAUAACUAAGCCCUCCCCCAUAGAGGCUAUAAACAUCAUUUUCUAUUGUUUGUGAAGCUGUCUCAAGACCACCUCCCAAUUCUACUACUACUACUAAUUUUAUUAUUUAUACCCCACCCAUCUGGCUAGGUUGCCCUAGUUACUCUUAAGUAAGUAACAUUGUACUCAGGCUCAACAGCAACUCUACAUUCCUUUCUGACAAAGCACAUGGCUCUACGGUUUGCAGCUGGGGUGCACUGUAAGCACAUUUUGACAUUUAAAAAAUCCAAAGAUAUGCGGUGGUACUUUCUCACUUUUCUUCUGCUUUGACUAUACAUUUAAAGUCCUUUGAUUGUUUGUUUUCCAGUUUGCAGAAACACCAAGCAACCAAAGUUCUUCACAAGAAUGGUCUCUCAUAAUAUGACCUGGAUGAAGUACCCAAGCCAGAGCCGAGAUUCAUUCACAAGUUUUGAAGACAUCAUAUUCUCACAACAUGUAAUAUCAAGAUUUAUGCACUGCUAUAUUACGCUCUUUGUACCAACUGGUCUACUAGCUGGGAUUGUUAUUUUAGGCAUCCUCAUCAAGAACCAUAUGCAGCGCACCAAUGAGAAAUUAGAUAUAAUGCUUUUUGCUCACACCAUCAGCAACAUGUUAAUGAUUCUUUUAUCACUCACCAUCAUCACAAGGCCUGCCUACCUCAAAGUAUCCUAUUUUGAGUGUGGAACGCUGUCGUUUUUUUUCAAUUUGAAUUACUUCAGCUCUCAGUACCUUCUUGUCCUCAUGGUGCUUAGCUUUUUUCUUUAUAGGCACCCACCCCAAAAUGCUUUAAUUAGUAAGGCACAUCAAAACCCUAUGGUAUCUGUUGCAUUUGCACUGAUAUGUGCCUUUUGUGCUACACUAAUAGUGGUGGCACUGCUGGGCAUGGAGAAUUACCAUGAAGAAACAGACUGCCAAUUAGAUCCUUUAUUUGCAUGGCCUGAAUACGAGAUUAUUAAAUUUACCUUUGGCUUCUGCAUUCCAUCUUUGGCCAAGCUUCUCUGCUUUAUUCUAAUGUUUGUUAAAAAAGUUCAGCCAGAAAUCCAUCCCUCAAGAUACAAUAUUCACCCUUAUUUGACUGUUUUGGUUAUUACAAUAACAAUGUUUGUGUGUCGUCUAUUUUACAACAGUAUGAUUCUCUCUAGGACCAGCUUGAAGAUACGGAGGAUAAUAGGGACACCCCAAAAUGAGCUGACAAUGAAUAUUGCAGAGAUCCUGCUGUUCAGCGAAAGCUGUGUUAGUUUAGUUAUCAUUCUUUGCCUUCAUAAACCAUGCAGAAUCGGCUUAUUGAAUGUUAUAACUAAUCUCACAAAAGUUUGCAGGAGGAGACAUGCUAGUAACAGUCCUCUUGAAAUACCAGAGACUCGUACUGAAGUCUCAUCUGGGCCCUCUGAAAAUGGAUCACACUGACCUUUGCCUUCCAAAAUAUUAGCAUUGAAGAAAAAAGCUACAAAUCUGCCAACGUACAGAACCUGAAGGAAUAAAAGAUUUGCAAGCUUAUUUAUUCUUACAACCUGAGGAACAAAUAUUCUCCAGCUGGGGCUGAAAGCUACAAUCAUAGUUACUUAAUGUUCCUCCUGUGUUGCUAUUGCACGUCGUUGUUGUGUGCUGAUGUAUGGACAGCAGAGUGAACAACAGGACAGGCAACAUGGUCAAGAGCUUUUAUAAAAAGAAACUUUUCCAGGAUCAACAAAGGGGUAAUGAAUAUGGAAGACUGCAUGGGAGAGUGAAGGGAGAUCUUGAUAAAGCAGUGUAUCACCUAGGAUUUAAUGUAUUAUUCUAUAAGUGACUCUUAUAUCAACAAAAUUAACUAAGUUAUCAUGCACCAUAAUCCUUCAGUCCAUACAUUUGUAUCCCCCUCCCAACAUACAUUCAUAAGGGAUACAAGUCACUUGAAGAGGGGGCCCUUUUUCUCUGUUCACCCAUCCUGGACCAAUAAACACCACCCAUGGAACUGUCUAGCCUAAGAAGUCCAGCUUUCAGAAUCCAGCCUGCUUGAAUGUGGGUGCUUUUAAAGGGCAUCCUGUGUACAGAAUGGAACAGAACCGCACGGAGCAACAGACAAAAUAGUUAUACUGAAUUAUAGACAUUGAGGCUCUGAGAUUAGAAGUUGUACCCAUCUUCAAAAGGGGGGGGGGGAGAAGAUUGAGGUAACUACCGAUCCGUCAGCUUUUCUAUACCAGGAAAGACCCUAGAACAUACAAUUAAAUGGUCAGUCUGUGAGUACUUAGGAAAGGAUGCUAUGAUUGCGAAGACCGAGUAUGGGUGUCUCAAAAACAAGUCAUGCCAAACUCAUUUCUUUUUUUGAUAAAGUUACAAGCUUGGUGGAUUGGUGAAUGCUGUGGAUGUGGUGUAUCUUGAUUUCAAUAAGGCUUUUGACACAAGUCCCCUGUGAUAUUCUUGCAGAGAAGCUGGUAAAAUGUUGGUUAGAUGAGGUUACUGCUAGGUGGAUUUGUAGCUGGUUGACCGACAAAACCCAAAGAGUGCUCACUAAUGGUUCCUCAUCAUCCUGGAACAAAGGGACAAGUGGGGUGCCACAUGGGAGGGUUCUGUCUUGGAUCUGUUGUUCAACGUCUUUAUAAAUGACUUGGAUAAAGGAAGUGAGGGGAUGCUCAUCAAAUUUGCAGAUGACACCAAACUGGGAGGGGUAGCUAAUGCCACAGAAGACAGAAUCAGAAUUCAAAAUAACCUUAAUAGAUUGGAGAACUGGGCCCAAGCUAACAAAAUUAAUUUCAGUAGGGACAAAUGUAAGGUUCUACACUUAGGCAGGAAUAAUCAGCUGCAAGAAUAUAAGAUGGGGUACGCCUGACUUGUCAGUAGUAAAUGUGAAAAAGAUCUAGGAGCCUUGUUGGAACACAAAAUUAAUGUGAGACAACAGUGUGAUGCAGCAGCAGAAAAAGCUAAUGCUAUUCUAGGCUGCAUCAACACAAGUACAGUGUCCAGACCAGAUCAAGAGAAAAUCACUAUAUUCUACCUUAGUCAGACCACAACUGGAAUACUGUGUCCAAUUCUUAUCACCACAAGGAGGAUGUUGACAGGCUGGAAUGUGCACAGAGGAGGGCAACCAAGAUGAUCAAGGGACUGGAAAGAUGAUCAAGGGACUGGAUGAUCAAGGGCCUUAUGAGGAAAGGUUGAAGGGGCUGGGUAUGAUUAGCCCAGAAAAGAGGAGACUGAGAGGAGAUAUGAUCUUCAAAUAUCUAAAGGGUUGCCACAUGGAGCUUGUUAUCUCCUGCUUCAAGGGUGGGACCCAAACCAAUGGAUUCAAGUUACAAGACAGGAGAUUCCGACUAAACAUUAGGAAAAACUUUCUGAUGGUAAUAGACUUCCUCAGAAGGUGGCAGACACGCCUUCAUUGGAGGUUGGAUGGCCAUAUGUCACAGUCACUUUAGUUAAGAUUCCCGCAUUGCAGAGGGUUGGACUGGAAUUGGGCCCAUUCCAAUUAUACAAUUAUAUCAUUCUGUAAGUUCCCUUAAAAAACAAGGGGUUGCAAAAGGGCAUUGUAUUUGCUGGAAGUGUGCAGUAUAUUCAAGACAGCCUAACUGCUGUGCAGUAGAAAUGGAAAAGCCAUAUUUCAGGGUGGGGUGGGACAUGAAUACAGGUUCUACAAACCAGGACAGCUGUUCUGGGCUUGAGGUAAAUUAAUUAUUUCGGGUGCAGGCAGUGUUAAAUACAUCUGGGCAGGCCUUUGCCAAAAUAUCUAAUUGAUGUAACAAUGACCAACAACAUGAAAGAUUUAACAUGAGAAUGGUGCUAUUGGGGAUAAUGUGGUAUAGUAAGAUGAAAUGUGUCCAUGUGAUCAUGGUGAAUCAUGCCUCUUUAAAUGUUUUGGAGAAAAAUGAAAUCAUGUCAAAAGACAUAGCAAGAAAAAAAUGCAAGGAGGACAGUAGUUCUUUCAUUAAGAUGGGUAAUAAAUAACAGUCUAGGAGUUUCUUAACAGUAAAUGAGAUGAAUGUAAGGCAAGGCAUGAAAGAUCUAACAGGGUGUUGGAGCCUUUUUCUUUUCAUGCAUAGAGAGCGUUAUCUGCUGGUUCAAGGCUUACCUUGAAGCAGGGGUAGGCAACAUGCUGCCCAUCAAUGCUGUGAAUUUCAGCUCCCAUAAAGCCCAACCACCCUGGCUGAUGGUCAGGAAUUAUGUGUCUUAGGGCAGGAACCUUUCUCUCCCAUAUGCUACUCUGUAAAGUGUCGUCUAUGGUUAUGGCACCAUGUACAACAUAAUAAUCAUUAUUAAUAAUGAUAGUCUGAUUUCUCAUCAAGAAGACUGGCUUAUUCCAAAUACUUCUGAAAAUGAAAAGAGAAAUGUAUGUCCAAGGCAAACUAUUGCUUUGGACUGUUUUUUGGUAAUGUCAAAGGGUAUCUUUGUUUCACCAACUUCCUACAACAAAAUCACACAUCAACUACUGCCACAGGCUGGACUUUGGGAUGUAAUAAACAUAUGUGCCAGGAAAUAACUCAGGGGAUUCUCUGUCUGAGAUAGCGCGCAAGAAAAUAUUGUAACAUUGUGUGCUUAUACAUUGCAAUAGUUGUUGGGGAAAUGUUAGAAGGGAUUUUGUAGUGAAGACACAUCAGAGCCUUUCAACAUCUAUGCCAGUGAAUAUUAGACCAACUAAUAUUAGGGAGCUGAGGCUAAGGUCUGCCCUGACUACAACAGGACCUCCAAGUGUAACACUUUACCUGAAUUGGGAAACAAUGAAGGAUGUACUCAGGGUUGUUAUUAUGGGAGGUAUUAAGCAUGAUCCCCACCCCUAGUGAUCCCAGCCAUUGAUUAAAAAGACUUUUUCCAAUCCUUCAUCUGCAUAGCCCUGCCCUGUGUUCCAUUUCUUGAUCCCACUAGAGUGUGACAGAAUGCUAGAAGCUACUUUUUAUGUAUAUAUAAAGUUUAUGAUGAUAUGAUCAACAAGAAUCAACAACUGUUUUUCAUCUAUCAAAAUGUGAACCAAAUUCAAGUUUUCUCAAUGCAUAUGGUUAAUAAAGGUUUCUAAAAAUA